RNAcentral lists this unclassified non-coding RNA (221 nucleotides) under plant metagenome. RNAcentral describes it as "partial contains small subunit ribosomal RNA and internal transcribed spacer 1". The stretch from base 1 to 45 matches the Rfam family "Eukaryotic small subunit ribosomal RNA", at positions 1787 to 1831 of the family's 1831-position model. The record is from RNAcentral.
AGUCGUAACAAGGUUUCCGUAGGUGAACCUGCGGAAGGAUCAUUAAAGAACGCCCCGUUUUUACAAAUUGGGUUCAAAUGACCCCUAACCAGCCUGUAUACCUUACCCUUUGCUUGUUUUGGUCGGGCCGGCCUUGAGGCGUUGGCUCCGGCUAACUGCGCCCGCCAGAGGACCCAAACUCGUUUGUUUAGUGAUGUCUGAGUACUAUAAAAUAUUUAAAA